RNAcentral lists this long non-coding RNA (251 nucleotides) under Elaeis guineensis (African oil palm). RNAcentral describes it as "long non-coding RNA (EGUI_LNC034239)". Lineage: Eukaryota; Viridiplantae; Streptophyta; Magnoliopsida; Arecales; Arecaceae. The record is from RNAcentral.
CACACACCUUGAUUAAGAGGACAACCAACUAAUAUAUCACACAACGAUCUAUACUUGAUACAAUUAUCAUCCUUGUAACAAUUGUAUCAUUUGAUCGCAAGCAAGAUUUAAGAACUACAUGAUAAAUCUUUCUUUAUCAUUUUGGAAGUAGCUCUGAGGACUUUAUCAUAAUACAUGAGUUCUAUUUAGGAAGAUAAACUCCUUAUGAUGAAUCUGCCAGAUAAUAUACAUACAUGGAGCACAAUCAUCUA